GGCUAUCUGGACCCAAUACUGACGCUGAGGUGCGAAAGCCGUGGGGAGCCAAACAGGAUUAGAUACCCCUGGUAGUCCACCGCCGUAAACGAUGUCAACUAGCCGUUGGGGGGCUUGUCCCUUUAGUGGCGCAGCUAACGCGAUAAGUUGACCGCCUGGGGAGUACGGCCGCAAGGUUAAAACUCAAAUGAAUCGACGGGGGCCCGCACAAGCGGUGGAGCAUGUGGUUUAAUUCGAUGCAACGCGAAGAACCUUACCAGGUCUUGACAUCCCUCGGAACUUUCCAGAGAUGGAUUGGUGCCUUCGGGAACCGAGUGACAGGUGCUGCAUGGCUGUCGUCAGCUCGUGUCGUGAGAUGUUGGGUUAAGUCCCGUAACGAGCGCAACCCUUGUCCUUAGUUGCCAGCACGUAAUGGUGGGAACUCUAAGGAGACUGCCGGUGACAAACCGGAGGAAGGUGGGGACGACGUCAAGCCAUCAUGGCCCUUACGACCUGGGCUACACACGUGCUACAAUGGCCGGUACAGAGGGUUGCCAAGCC
RNAcentral lists this ribosomal RNA (540 nucleotides) under uncultured bacterium. Its description in RNAcentral is "bacterial SSU rRNA". It matches the Rfam family "Bacterial small subunit ribosomal RNA", at positions 723 to 1256 of the family's 1533-position model. The record is from RNAcentral.